GAGGGUGUAGCCCAGUGGGAGGGAGUGUGCUCAGCAUGCAUGAGGUCCUGGGUUCAAUCCCCAGCACCUCCA
RNAcentral lists this transfer RNA (72 nucleotides) under Camelus bactrianus (Bactrian camel). It matches the Rfam family "tRNA". From Rfam's summary of the family: Transfer RNA (tRNA) molecules are approximately 80 nucleotides in length. RNAcentral also lists the same sequence under 2 other names. The record is from Rfam by way of RNAcentral. Lineage: Eukaryota; Metazoa; Chordata; Mammalia; Artiodactyla; Camelidae.